Molecule: long non-coding RNA, 13314 nt
Organism: Gallus gallus (chicken)
Lineage: Eukaryota; Metazoa; Chordata; Aves; Galliformes; Phasianidae
Exons: 3
Source: RefSeq, a predicted model, not a curated record
CAUAGCAGGGGGGUUGAAACUCAAUGAUCGUUGUGGUCCUUUUCAACACAGGCCAUUCUAUGAUUCUACGAUUCUGUGAUCAGUUCUUCGCAUUCUCUGUUUAGGGAGCCUGUGUGCUUUACAGUCCAACUGCAUUUCAGCCCAGGUACCAAGCACUUAGGAGUUGGGCAGUGGAUCACUUAAAAUGCAGGAACUAAGCCCUUUAUUAAACCUGCUCUCAGUCAGUAACUUACCGACACGAGCCAAACUGAUAUACACAAGGGUUAAAAGGAUUAACAGAAAUCUACAUUGGAGAUUUGCACCAGAUGAACCAGAUUGAUUUUUAAAUCCACUUGAUUAAAUGGGUGUACUUUUUCAAGACUGAUUCAUUUAGCAAUUUCUCCCUCAAAGGCUGCGCUGAUAUUUUGCAUACAGUGACUAAUUACUUUUCAGAACACGGUGUACUUGUUCCCUGCUUCUGUGGACUCUGCACAGUCACUACAUCUGGGUAAAGUGGGCAGAAAGUGCCUUUCUGCUUGACAGUACUUCACACCACUCUGCAGGGAUGCACACAGGAUCGCAAAAGGGCCAAGAGAACGCCGGGCUGUUGCAACUGGAGACGGAGCUGCAAGCAGUGGAAAAAUACCAUACCACAGCCUUCCCAGGUGCUGGGGCUCUAUAGCUGUCUGUAUGCAGUGCAAACAGCUCUGUUCGGGUGGGAGCAGAGCGCAGAGCUGGCAGAGCCCUUAAGCAGCACAGGGUGGGACGGACACUCUGCCUGUUGGUCCCAGGAUAGCUGUGGGACAUCUCAGGGUGCAGAGCUGGCAUCCUGCUGCCCUCCUGCUGACUGGGGCAGUGAUGAGUGAUCAUUUCAUACCAGCUGUUCUCGUUUAACUGUCUUUCCAGGUUAAAUCCUUGAACCCCUCUACUCUACCACUCUGCCGCUUUCUCCCCUUCCCUAACUUAGCAAGCCGUGUUUGUUUGGCUCUGGCUCAGGUUUGUGCAGCUUCUUUUUCCUGCCUCCUUCAUUCACAAGUGGAUUUCAGAAUAAAAGCAUUCCAAGUCUUUCGAAAUCUGACAACCCUCCUUAGUGAAGCACAUUUCAGUGUAAAAGUUGAAAAAUCUUCUACAGUUCUCCUCCUCAGUGAUGCCCACAGGACCCAGAUGAGGAGCUGAUUUUACUGAUAGCCACACCUUCAUCCGUUGUGCUAACUAGUAUUUUCUCACUGCCAGUUUGUGCUCUUAUUUUAUUUCUGUGCCCCAUUUUACACAAAAACAGUUUAUGGGACGUUGUUGAUUUGGGGGAUCUAUGGCUAUGAAAUACUUGGUUUUUACCAUCCACCAUUCCCUUGUGCAGGUGUCUCAGGUGCUUCCCUGCUGACCAGCCUGGCGGUAAGCUUGAAAGGACGCUUUGUUCAAUCAAGGGCUCCCUCAGGCUGUGCUGCUUUGACAAUUGCACAUCUCCAUUUGCUCCCAAGGCAGAAGUGUGUGGGAUAGCACAGCAGGAGCUGACAUGGCAGUAUGGACGCCAGCACGAGGCUGGCAUUAGCAUGAAUGCAUUGACCAACACAGGCACGGGGACAGCCUCAGAGAGGGCUCCAGUGAAGAGGUGCAAAUCUCUGAAUUCAUCUAAAUUGCUACAGUCAUGUGCUGUCCCUAAAUACCAUCUCAUUAAAGUUAAUGCACCAUACUAACAUAUCCACCUAAUACCGGUAGUAUCAUGCUGGCGGUGCUGUCAUGAGCAGGAAGAGGAAAGCCUGUGGUCAGAAGAAGCCCUUUUGAGAAGCAUAUAAGAAGGAUCUUAUUUCUUAAAUGCUAUCACCUUGCACACUGUAAUGGUUAUGCUCACACAAAAAAAAAAAGAAAAAAACCUGUAACAACAAGAGAAGCAGAACUGGGACAAAACCUCCCCCGAGAUGCAUCUCCAAAGCACUCGGAUGCAUUCAUUUGCUCUCUGUUGCAGUGCAGGAAACCUGGCUGCUGCCUGUGCCAUUCGUGCUGCUGCAUCUGUGCACACACAUGAGGAGGUGGGGGUCCCACAGCCCCCCAGACCAGCCCUGGGGAUCCUGCUACUCUCCCAUUACUGAGUUGCCAGGAAUGUUGAAAUCCACUCUAAGAAUGUUCUUGAGUAUCUCUGUAAUGUUCUGCACUUAACAAAGAGAUCUCAGCACUGGAAAAUUUGUUGCUGGAAGUUUCUUGCACACAGCCAGGCAGGGCUGGAAGAGCGACUUGCUGUAUGACUUCUCUGCUUUCUUGGAGGUAGUUUUAAACAAAUGUGGAAAUUUCCAGCGUUGUUAGUGCCUACACAUUCUCCCUGUUCAAGCUGCCAGGAGCUGCUUGUGACUGUACACAACCUUUACUGUGACCUGAGAGGGUAGGACACCGCUCGGCCUAAAGGAAUACAGAGUGAUUGGUGAUGGGGAGCUGCUUGCCAAGCCAGGCUCUGGCUGGGUUCUGCCCCUUACUGCAGCAAUGAAAUUCCUGUCCCAGUGUCCUCAUCUAUAAAACAGAUGUCUGCCCACAUUGUGCUGAUGUGGUAAUUACAGCACAGAAUAAACAGUGUAAAUCCCUGCCAUAGCCUAAACAAUUCUCCUGACUUUAGCAUUGAUGGAUAAGGUGUGAAUCAUUGUGGAAAUUACUGAAGUAUCUCUAACUUAUAGCAAAUGCUGAGAAGUGGAAAGAAAAAAGAAAGGAGAUGGUAGUGCCUGACCUUGAGGAGGCAACGCUACAGAGACAAGGGCCUUUAGAGUUAGAGUCACAACAGGGGAGGGAAAGACAGGGCCAGAAAGAGAACUAGAAGAAAGGGUAUGACAAAAUAGCUAAGAAAGGAAAAAUAGUCAAGAAAAGGAAAUCCUUCUUGGAAAGGAGAUAAUUAAAAUAAAUAAAUAAGUAAAUAAACAAAUUCAACAUAAGUAAAUAAAAACCACAGAGAAAACAAACAAAACAGAAAUGAAAAGGUCCCCAAAAUAUUUACAGGUUUUUCCCACAACAAUUCCAUUGGUUGCUCCCGUUAACUCCUUGUGCCUAUUUCUCACGUACUUCAAACAUCACAAAACCAUACUAAACAGAUGUGGGCAUAAUAUAGUAUCCUUUCUUGUAGACCAAGAAAAGUAUCACAUGAAGUUUAGAACAGAAUUUUGAUCUCUUGUUUCCCAUUAGCCCUGUGGAUUUGAAGACUAAAUUAAUAGGAUUUCCAUACAAAACUAUUUUUUCCCUUCUUAUUGCCCACUAAUCAUCCCCUAGAAUCCUACAUUUUAAUAUAUUUUGUAGAAUAGCACUCUUAAGAGUUGACAACAGUUGAUGAAAGAAGACAUUCAUAAUAUUUGAAUAACCACUACGAGAUUAAUCUUAAUUUUAAGGUAGUUCUCCUUUGUGUCUGACAAGGUUAAUGCUUCCAUGCUUCCUCCUCUUUGCUCAUGUUCUGAUUGGACUAAUGACUGUGACAUGACACAGAUUUCUUGUCCUACUUUCUACUUGGGAUAGUAAUACACUUCUUCCUCUGACAAUUAAGAUAUAUCUUGUAAAAUUACUAUUCUAUACACUACACUGAGCACAAGUCAAAACAAUUUUCAGUUCGGUUUGCAGGCCCCAGAGGAAACUGCUAGCAUGUGCAUAUUGCACCUUGUAUAAAAGAAGGCAUGAAUUAUACAUCAAUGUUACGUCUCAAUUCUUUUUAGAUUAUGAGUUCUUUAUGAAGUACAUCAAGAUUAUACAGAAUUUAACAUGGAAAGUGACCCAAACCCUGUCUUCUUGAGUGCAUAAUCAAAGGUAUGGGCUAACAUCUUCAGAGUAUAUAGCUUUACCACUUACAAAAAGAGAAACAACAAAGCUUCAAAAAGCAAAAUUUCAUGUGCUCAGGAAGAUCAGGAAGGCUCUGGGACUCCACAUCAACACAAAACAGUAAACAAAACAAAAUCAGCAUAGGCUCUAAUAGCACAAUCAGCACUAUCUUAUCUAUCAAGACACCUGAAAAUUAUGCCUUUCCCCCAAAAUCUGUGGAAAUUGGCAUUAGCUGUGGGUUCUCCAACUGUGUGCUUUUCUGGAGAAAUGAGCCAAAGCAGGUGUAAAGCUUUGAAAAGAAUAAAUUGCACAGGCUACAGUUUUAUGAUCCUGAAAUCAAAGAUUUUAAGCACAAGAGAAUCCACCUUGCUGAAGAGCUAAUCCCAAUUAAAGAAAUAGUGAUCAUACUUUUCUUGGCAUAAGAUGAAAAGAUCUUUCUUUUCAGCUGUAAACGGCUGUAUUUCAAGAAGUGAAUUUCAAGGGCUUCAGUAAAAGCAAGAACAUCAAAAAAAGAAUUCAUGUUAGCAAUGCUGGGCAAGUGGGUAAGAGGAUUAUGAAGAGCUUUACCAAGUACAUAUGUGAAAAAGUAGGUCUAGGACCAGGGCAGAAAUUAACAAUGAUUCAAAAAUGACUGCGAUAUUGAAUAUAGUCUGCAAAUAAGUCUGAGCAUGUGGUAAGAGAAGAUGAGCCACUAACGUAAGUAGAUAAAUGCAAGUAAAGGAAAACAUGAGGACCUUUGUGUGGAUAAAGUGCUGGGAAGAGAGCAUUAGGCAGCUUUCUGCACUGCUCAAUACCUGAGGAGAGCCAUCAGUGAAAGGAAGAACCAGAAAAUAAAUGUGAAAAAUAAAAAUAGCUUUUAAAGUUGAACUCUGAUGGAAAAAGACACUUUUGUGAUCUCCCAGAGUCUACUUUUAGUCUUAAUAAAAAAGGCUGUCACUGAUCUACCAAUUCAGUUAAAGUGAAUGGGUAUAUUGAAAACUAGGGGUGGGAGGCAUUUUCAGAGAUCAGAAAUUAUGCUGAGCAAAGACAAAUCUGGAAGGAAUUACAGUCAGAUUGAAUUAAGGCAACCAUUUUAAUGCUUUUUAAUUAAAAGACAUUUCAUUCCAAAAUUACAUUUUCAUUUCAAGUCAAAAUGAUACAUUUAACAUAGAAUAAAGCCCAUUUUACAUCUGAUUUUUAUGCUUGUUCAACAACAAAAUCCAUUACUUGCAGAGGACUGGUAAGUACCUUUCUUUCCGACUGAAGGAAGGACUAAUUGGAUACUCUCAUGUGAGAUGACACCUGAAACAGAAACUCCUGACCAACAUCAAAGCCAGUACAGUAAGCAGUUAGGCCAGUUAGGUCAAUAGGUUUCUCUAAUUCCUCUUUUGAUGGCAAGGCCAUGAGCUGAGGUAGAUAUGUUUUUAGCUCUGUUCUUAGAGGCUGUAAGAACUGUAAGAGCUAAAAGUAACUCAGCAGGCGGCACAAAUUGUACUGAUACAGAGCAGAUGAAAGGAUUGCUGUUGUGUGGGACCGGUAGGAAAGUCAGACCCGACCAUCAUAAGCUGAAAAGCUGGUCACAGAAGUGAUUUCUGUAGUGCAUUAUAGGAAGUAAACAGACAACAUUGCAACACAUAAACACCCAAGGAAGAUCAAAUUCUGCUACUGAUAGGGAGAAGCCAAAUAAAGCUCCAAAUAUUGGCAAACCAUUUGUGCCUAAGGACAAUGAACAACUGUGAGGUUUAUGUUCAGAAAACAGUGAGUGUGAAAAGCCACCAAAGCAAACAAACAGAACGUUGCAGCACUGAUCUGAGUUGGCCUUCCCAGGCAUGGGUACCUUAUAAACACUGAAGGAGGAGAAAUACAUCCACAAACAUAGAUCUUCACACACAUGCAUGAUAAAACCUUUACUUCUGACCUGGAUCGAGACUUUGAACAAAACAAUCUGCAGCACUCUUCAGGUUCCCAUGUCAUUUUUCAUGCUACACUAUGCAUGCUUUCAAAUCAUAAUGCAGCAAGAAAUAAAACCCAACCGCCUAAAGAAACAAGACACAGCAUCUGCCAUGUACAGAGCCCAUCCUACUUGAGAAAGGAUAAAAGAUGCAUAUGCAUUCAUUCACCACCAAGUAUGUGAGCUUUUCUAAUGAAGGCAGGACUCAAUUUUGCUUUCUAGCUGGCACAGAAGAGAUCCUGCAUCCAUCUCCAGGAGAUCUCUGCCUCACACACUGACUCCUUGGUUGUGAUAGUCAGAUGCUGUCUUAACCCAGAUGCAUACCACAGAAUGUCUGUUAGGGGCUUAUAGAAGAGUAAGGUGAUCUUGAACAUAACACUAUACUUAUUUUGCAGAGAAAAGUAAGAUUGAGAAGGUAGAACAAAUCAUAUGUGCUUUUGGACAUUUUGGUACCGGAUGAGGUAUAUUUGUGACAACACUGAAGAACUCAGGAGAGCCCAACCUGCACUACAGGAGGCCCCUCUGCAUGGGACUCAUCAGCAGAGAUGGAAAGGUGCCCCGAGGGCACAAAACACCAAAGAGCAGCAGCACUCUUUGCUUUCUGCAAACUCCCACUCACAUCACUAGAAAUGGAUGUCAUGACAUUAUUAUCCCUGGCUUUAUUGUACCUUGUGUGCAGUAGAUUAAAUGCUGGGAGUAGGAUGGCAGCAGAGCUCAAAUAUAUCUAAACUAACUUAAUGUUGUUUAUCCCCACAAUAACAGAAAAAAAGGAACGCUUAUGAUUAUGUUCAUAAAUAUUUGUUUUCUAGGAAAAAGAAAACCAAACCUCACAAGGAGCAGUCAGCUACUGAAAAAUUUGUCCCCCUUUUCAUCUUUGUUUCAACCUUUUAGAAAUAUGCUGUUUUCCUCAUGUGGAGAGCAGUAAAACAGUCUUAUAAUUCACUUAUAAUUCACACUGGAUAUUGAAUAAGAGAUAAUUAUUUAUCAACCACUUAUCUCGUGCAUUAAAACAGCAUCAAAAUGUACCAUCAUCCUGUUGGUAUUUGACAUCCAGGAUGUUGCUACAUACAGAAGAUGAGCUGGAGGUGUCACAUCCGAGGUCAGAUACCAGAAGGUCUGCUUCUCCCAGACUUGUAACGCAGUUGCCAGCUAGUUGGACAAACACAGGGACUACAUAAUUCACGCGUAUGCUUACAUAAAAGAUUUAUGCUUUUUUGUUUUUGUCUUUGUUUCUGCUCAUAUUAUAGACAAACCCAGCAUUUUUAUGCGCUGCAUACUAAAAGCACUGUAAACAAGUGGCUUGUGAAAACACCACAGCCGUUUGCAAUGGCAGAUAUUAGACACAUCCAGUCUGACAACUCCUAGUUACAUCAUCAGCUGUUUGCCUGUUUUUAUCCCAAUACAUUCACAACUCACCAAACUAAGCUAAUGACCAGGUACCUUGCACUACCACAGUUGGUCCAUAGUAACCUGCUCAUCCGCUAACACUUGUUUCUAGGCCCAGCUUUUUAGAUAAAUCAUAAAUAUCCAUGGCUGAGACACUGUUAUCUCUGUGCAUGGCAAUACACAGAAAGGAACAUGUAUUUUUCAUUCACAGAAGAACUCACACGCUGUAAAAUUCUGGAAAAGACAGAGUUACUUGUACAUUUAAGCCAUGCUGGCAGACAAGCUGAUGUAGGGGAGUUUGGUGCCUUCAGCCAUUCGUGAAACAGGGCAAAUCACCAAAACCUCGACCAGAAUUAAAUAGUAGGGCAGUUAUUUUGAUUUCAGGGCAUGUCCUUUCCUUUGCACCAGCAAUAGCCUCCCAUGACAGAAAUAGCAUAGGUCAGUUCAGACUGAGGAGCUCCUCAUAGCCUCAGCCUUUUCCUUCUAUAUCUAAAAACUCCUUUGUUACCUCCACAGGAAUCACUUCUUAAAACCUUAGGAUUGCUGUCAGCUGUCUAGGAUUCCAUCGAAUUUCCAAAAUCUUUUUAAACCUGGGCACAGUAUUCUCGCGUGUAAGCAAAGUUGCAAGAAGCAAAAUGAUUUUCCCGUCCUGAAAAGUCAUACCCUAUUUAUAUACCUUGUACAGCACUCAUUUUUUGCAGCUUCAUCACAUUGUGAACUUGUCUCAUUUGUCCAUCACCCUCAGGACUUUCUCUGCAUCGCUGCAUUUAAAACUUAUGAUUAGUAAACUGGCCCUAAAUAAAAAUAACUCCCUCUGUGAGCCCUUAACCAGAACUGUGAGUAUUUAGACAAGAGAACACUCCUCUACUUUCCAAACUCCAUCCUCCCUAGUCGUGCUGCAAACAAACACAUUUCCUCCUACCACACACUAAUUCCACUAUAAUGGCUUCUCAAAAAAGCUUUGCUGUGGGUUGAGAGGAAAUUGAAAAGAAAAUAAAACACCAUGCAGAGGCUCCAGUCCUAUCACAGGAAGGUAAGUGCAGGUACUGGAUGUACUUCUACCACUCAUUAAACCUGAGGGUGGAUCCAAGAGUUGCUGUUUUGUUAUAAUCACAUCUGCUCCAGCACCUUUCUGUUUUGAACACCUCUCUGUGAAGCAUUUCUCUGCAGUCUCAGGUGUCCCCUCAGAUAUCCCCUCAGAGCUGGAAAAUGGCUUAAUUGAUGGCAAUUGGGCUUUUUCUUCUCUGCGUUCAAGUCCAGUUCUAAGCCAUUUAAUUCACAAUAUGGGAGUAUGCUGGAGUUACAUUUUAAAUUAUACAUCUGUAGUGAGGACCUCUAGAAACUUCUACAUAAAGCACAGUAAGACGAUGUUCUUAGUUUAUAUCAUUCUAAAAGUUGAUGCUCUGUGAAAAUCACCACAAUAAAAGAAAAAUCACAGCAUGAUUUAUGGACUUCGCGUCAAGGUUAACUGCUGCAAAAUUGGCUUCCUGAUGUGACAGAAAGUUUACUCAUUCUCUCUUCUGCUGAUUGCAUUCCUACCAAGCAGCAAACUCGUGAAAAACAGCAGCCUAUGGCCAGCACCUGUUCCCACUCGUGUUAUGCUGCAGUCACUACUGAGAGGCUAUGGGACCUGCACCCUCAGGCAUUUUCCAAUCAUCACCAGGCACAGCCAGGGCUGCUCUGACUAAGCGUCAGUGAGGGUUCUGCUUGAAGCAGGAGAUGGGGCAGAUGAUGACCACAGGAUCCUUCCACACAAUGCUUCAUGUGAAAUUAGCAGGAAAGUCAGUUACAUCUCAGUGCUUUGUAGAUGUCAAGUCCUGAAUAACAGGAGAGGCAAAAACACAUCUAAAAAUAAAAAUAGUCAAAGGAUGCCUUGUUUUUCCUGUCUCCCAACAGUAACGAGAGCCAGGAGCAGGCAGAAAACACAAAAGAUCUCUUUCUCUCUGGCAGCUCAGGCGGGUGACUCACAGCAAGCAAUGAACUCUCCGCAUGCUGCUCCUGUCAGUGCUGGGCAGAUUUGCCUUUUGAGCCCUGACCUGGGCCAUACGGCUGCGGACAGAAACACGGAGCCUGACUUCUUCUUAGCAGCUCUGUCAAUAAGAAAAUGCUAAGGACAGUUGAGGACAGCGAUCACUGAAACAUCACAUUUGCAUUCAGCUAAAAUCCCGGAGCCAGGAGAGCAGGUUGAAGGAAUGCCAGCACUCACACCCCACAGCUGCUAUGAACUGCAGUGAGCUGCCUCAGACCUUUCCUCCCAGAACUCAGCGUGCCAUUGCAUGCCAUUAACCUUUACUCCUACCCAUCUCCAGCAGGAAAAUUUAUGACACGUGCUCUUGCACUCCUCUGCCAGGUACGUUACACACCAAAAAUCAUAGUUUUCCUUGUGACUUCCAACUGGCAAGCCAGAGCUAACAAUGAAACAAAGGCAGCUCUGAGGAUGGUUUUGCAACGGACUUAUUUUUGCCCAGUGACUAUAUAUCACAGUUGCCUGCAAACACUGAGGUGCUGACAGCAUUUUUCUCUUAGCAUUUUCACAAUACUACACCCAAAGAAUGCUGUUUGUGCUCCUCCAGACUCAUAGGCAGAUAGAAUCUUGAAAUGAAGAUUAUAUUUUUUUAAUCUUUCACUUGGUUUUGAGGAACCAAUAGUUUUGCACAUCAGCUGAAUUUACUAUUACAUUUAUUAGAGCCAGAAAGCUGAAUUUCAUUUCAAAUGGCCUUCAGCUAUGGACACCGAAAACAAAUCCCUGUAGCUCGAAUAGCACUGUACUACUGUCUUGAUUCCCCAUGUAAACAGAUUUUGUUUUCAUAGGUCUUAAUCCUAAAGGCAAUGAGCGUUAUGGCUGUGACAUCUGCUGCCAGUGCAGCUGUGGCUCCAGCUGGUUUUCUGCCCUGGGGUACAGUAACAGCCCAAUUCUGAGGGGAGGGAAUGUAUAAUAGGUCAUACCAUCAUAAUCACCAAUCACGAUAGCGAUUGUUUUUGAAAAAAAAAUCUGUUUCACAGAAAGUAUGAUUUAAGAAGCAUUCCCAAGAUUGCUCAAGCUUGUGAGCAACAUACCCGUUUUUCCUGUCUUUAUUGAAUGCAGUGUGUUACUGUUUACCUGCACACCAGGCAGAAGGAAAGUAUUUUAUGGCUGCUUUGCACCGCUCAGGGCUAAAAAGAACCAUCUCCACAUUGCACAGGCUUCAUGACUGACAGUGUUUCCUGUGGAGUUCACCAGAAAGCGAACCACAUGACUUAGUACUAAAUGUAGGACUGGUGGAAGCUUCCAGGUUCAUACCCCGGAUGAUUCUUGACCACGUUCUGGAGGUGGCUCAGAACGUGGCAGCGCAUUUCCUCUCCCUGAGAUUUUCCUCCUCUAUUUUAGAGAAUACAGCUCCUUCAUAGUUCAAGAAGUACUUCUAUUCAAAGCUAGCACCAUCCUUCCUACGAAGUCUGUCCCUGUAUUAUGCUUUCAGCUCCAAGCCUAGUUCAGUUUUAUUUUGAGUGCUGCAAACUUUGACUGUUGCACAUGAAGUAGGACAACUUCUGGUACGUCCUGAAGUGUGUAAGCAUAUCACAGAAUUUCCAGUGACUGAGGUAGAUUAGUCCUAGUGGCUGUGGUGGCUCCUUUCUCUCUUAAACCAACCCACAGAUGCCAUUAGUGACUGAGCUGCUACACAGACACUUGCCAUCAGGAACUGUCCCUGCCAGAAAAGAAGAAUUCAUGAGAAAUUAAUUGUAUUUAAUUCCAAUUUAGACAGAUUUGAAUCUUUACCCUGAGACUUCAGGGUAAAGAACGAGUUCUCUGAGCAAAAUUCCUACUGUGAGGUGCUCUAAAGAGAGCUGUAUGGCGUCAACAGUUGACUCCUUUGUGACAUUCAGUCACUACCCAAGGUCAGGUGAGGGCAAACAAGUGAAUGCAAAAGUAAUUGUUUAGGAAAGAAACAGGAAACAUCAACCAGACUUGUGAAUUUGACAGAUAGGAAAGGAGCUUGUGCUUAUCCUAAGCAAAGAUGCAAAUGUUGGAUAGACAGAUUACAUUGGUCUGGAGCCAACUGAGCGAUUGUAGAACCAUUGUGAAAAGAGCACGUGCAGAGUAAUAUUGAUCACAAAUCACUUACUAAGCAUAUUGACACAGGCCUUGCCAUGAAUUUGGAGAGAUUCAAAUUUAGAUCUGACAAGCAAUUGCUGUCAGAAGUGAUAGCUGCUUACGUCAGUCAUUUCUGUGAUCCAGCAAGCAUAUGUGAAUUCAGUAAUCCCCAAUAACUAGAGAAUACUUCAGACUACAGCCAUUUGCAUGUUGCCUUCAUUUUGGUGCCAGGUUCUAUGGGAAGAUGAAUCUCCAAAACAUUUCUGGAUGACCUGGUAAGUUGAAAUAUCAAAAAAGCAAGUAUUGUAGUUACAGAGCACAUGCCCUGGAGCAGAGAGAAUGUUGAAUAUAAUGUACUUAAAACAAAAUUCCCUUAGAAAAUGACUCACAGAGGAUUUGGUUACUCUUUCAGAAGUCUUUUACACUGCUCCAGUAGCACAGGCAGUUUGGAAACUCCCUCUCUUUACAGUUUAAAAACCUCAUUGAGUUUCUCAGAUUGCAAGGGAAAAAACAAACAAAAAACCACGGUAACACUUCUGUAGAAGUCUGAGCAAUGGAGAACUUUAAAAACUCACCCUUCUGUUACUAUUUCUAUAAUUCAGCAUAAAAUAGGAAAUUAUGCUGGAGCAUAAUCCAAAGUAAUAACAGGAUCAACUUCUGUAUUCUUGCUCAACAGCCCGCAGAUUACAUGUUCCAAUUACCUUUGGGGUGUGUUAGAACAAUCACUGGUGUGCAAUUUCCAGUUAAACUUCUUCAGGAAGAAAUCCAGUUCCUGUCCUUCAAAAGUGGUGUAACUUAAAGGACAUCAAGCACAAAAGAUUCAGAGAACUGAGAUCCCAUUAAAGCCAGAUGAGCUGUAGGCUGCUGUGUGACUUGGAAGCACUUCCCAAUCCUGCAACAAUGCCAGCAACACUAUGGUCACACUGAAACGUUUGUAAGCUGCCCUCGGAGAAAUCACAGCGCUUCUCUAUGCCUCACACUACAAAGAUUUAUACUACGUGGUGGCUAUCACAACUUUCAGUGUGCGCACAGUCUCCUCCAUGCUCCACGAGAAGUUUCUCACACCCAGCAUUCCCACAUUACUCCAUCCUCCCUGGACAAGUGAGCCUUUCUCAUUUUUAGCACUGUCAGUUCCUCCAACUGCAGCUGUUUGAGCCUCACGGUGAGGCAGAUGGCAGCCUUUGUUCAGUCUGCCUCACGUGUUUUCUCUUUCAUCAAAAUGGCUGUCAUCUUCCAUUUUGGGCACAGGGGUGUACAGCAGAUGAUUCACCACCGUGUUUUUCUGUAUGAGUGCAAAACUGAGCUUCGGCACAAGUGCUGCCCUUCACUGCGAACAGUGGGGUUAAAGUCGAGCCCAGUGACAAAUUGAUGGGAGUUGUGGAAAUCCCACAUAGCAGUAAGAUGGGAGUGGGCAGCAGAAGUGAGACGGGGAUCGUGCUGAGGGAGGGAAAGCAGUUGUUGGACAUUGGGAAAAGUGAGGCAGCCAACUGUUGUGAACAGUCCGUGAGGCAUCUCGUCUGGGCACCUGCAGAAAAACAUCCAGACUUCCCACAGUUUACAAGCAAAAUUCAGCAUCGCAACCCCUGGUCUGAUGUGAGGCUGAGGAAGAGGUGCUGCUCUGGUCCCAGCUAAGUGACAAAUCCAAGCAGAACUGAAAGAAGGCGCUUUUGAAGACCCAUGGAUACUUCCUUGCUAUUUAAUAAUUGUAUUUUUAACUUGCAUUUAAUGUCAUGAUAUAUAUGUAGUUCAAAUACAUUUAAAAUUAUUUUUAAGAGUUUUCAAUGAGUGAGAAUUCUUUAUUUUAAAAAGACUAAAGAUUCCAAUCAUAGUUAUAGUACUCAACAAUGGAAGCCUAUUAGUCUAAAGUUUUUCUAGGUGUUAACAAGAUGGCUAAUGUCAGUACACUAUUACAUGUAGGAGAGGUUGUAGAAGUUUCUCUUAGAAAGAAAUAUGAAAGACUUCAUUUUAAAUAAAAUCUGAAUGGAAAUAUGAAAGGUAUGUUGCCAUUAACUGCUAUGGUACCCUUCUGUUCUGUUUCCUGGUUUUUGCCUGUAAUCAAUCCGGUUAUCAGUGUAUGCUCAACAGUUAUUUAAUUUUAUCACAGCCCUACCUAUCUUUAAAUAAACUUUCCUGAAAAGCUCUCUUGUAUUCAUAUCAUUCUUAAUCC